Molecule: ribosomal RNA, 376 nt
Filed under: uncultured Glomeromycotina
Lineage: Eukaryota; Fungi; Glomeromycota
Description: LSU rRNA
Source: RNAcentral
UUGAAAGGGAAACGAUUGAAGUCAGUCGUACCAGCGGGAAAUCAACCUUUCGAGUGGGGGUUUUGGAGUUUUUUGAAGAGUGUCAAAACCUUUGAGAUUUCAAAAUAUUCGCUCUUUUGGUGUACUUUCUCGUGGGUAGGUUAACAUCGAUUUUGAUCAUCAUAAAAAGAUUGGAGGAAUGUAGCUUCGAUCUUGUAUUGAAGUGUUAUAGCCUUUGGUAAAUGUGAUGAUUAGGAUCGAGGAUUGCAACGAAUACCCUUUUGGGCUAUCCGCCUGAUCUCUGAUACGUGGCCUUGGUAUCGAAAGCGUGCUUAUGGUAUUGAGGUAUUACGGUCAAAAGGUUAGAACGGAUUACAUCGUUAAGGAUGUUGACGUA